GGGUCAGUGGUGAAGUGGUAUCACAUCUGAUUUGCAUUCAGAAGGCCCCGGGUUCAAUCCCCGGCUGAUCCA
Molecule: non-coding RNA, 72 nt
Organism: Stentor coeruleus
Lineage: Eukaryota; Ciliophora; Heterotrichea; Heterotrichida; Stentoridae
Source: Rfam